This 858-nucleotide ribosomal RNA is filed under the name uncultured fungus. RNAcentral's name for it is "SSU rRNA". It matches the Rfam family "Eukaryotic small subunit ribosomal RNA", at positions 612 to 1507 of the family's 1831-position model. Lineage: Eukaryota; Fungi. The record is from RNAcentral.
GUUGCAGUUAAAAGCUCGUAGUUGAACCUUGGGCCUGGCUGGUUGGUCCGCCUCACCGCGUGUACUGAUCCGGCCGGGCCUUUCCUCCUGGGGAAUCGCAUGCCCUUCACUGGGUGUGUCGGGGAACCAGGACUUUUACUUUGAAAAAAUUAGAGUGUUCAAAGCAGGCCUUUGCUCGAAUACAUUAGCAUGGAAUAAUAGAAUAGGACGUGUGGUUCUAUUUUGUUGGUUUCUAGGACCGCCGUAAUGAUUAAUAGGGAUAGUCGGGGGCAUCAGUAUUCAAUUGUCAGAGGUGAAAUUCUUGGAUUUAUUGAAGACUAACUACUGCGAAAGCAUUUGCCAAGGAUGUUUUCAUUAAUCAGUGAACGAAAGUUAGGGGAUCGAAGACGAUCAGAUACCGUCGUAGUCUUAACCAUAAACUAUGCCGACUAGGGAUCGGGCGAUGUUUUCUUUUGACUCGCUCGGCACCUUACGAGAAAUCAAAGUCUUUGGGUUCUGGGGGGAGUACGUCAGCAAUGAUGAAACUUAAAGAAAUUGACGGAAGGGCACCACCAGGAGUGGAGCCUGCGGCUUAAUUUGACUCAACACGGGGAAACUCACCAGGUCCAGACAUGAAAAGGAUUGACAGAUUGAGAGCUCUUUCUUGAUCUCAUGGGUGGUGGUGCAUGGCCGUUCUUAGUUGGUGGAGUGAUUUGUCUGCUUAAUUGCGAUAACGAACGAGACCUUAACCUGCUAAAUAGCCCGGUUUGCUUUGGCAGAUCGCUGGCUUCUUAGAGGGACUAUCGGCUCAGCCGAUGGAGUUUGAGCAUACAGUCUGUGAUGCCCUUAGAUGUCUGGGCGCACGCGCGCUACACUGAC